GAAAUGCGAUACGCAAUGCGAAUUGCAGAAUUCCGCGAGUCAUCAGAUCUUUGAACGCAAAUUGCGCCGCUAGGAUCUCCUCUUGGUGGCAUGUUUGUUUCAGUGUGUUUGUUUACCUCACAAAACUCAAUGCGAUUGAAGUUUAAUAUUUAUUUAUUUUAUUUCUCUCGUUAAAAAUGAGUGCACUUGUUUUGUCACCACAAAACAUCCAACGUAGCGGUCACUUCUCUAAGUGAUUGCGUUGGAAUUAUUUGAGUGAUAAACACUAUAUAAGUGCAUAAUAAUAUUUUGUCUACAAUCAGCACCUGAAAUCAAGCAAGAAAACCCGCUGAACUUAA
RNAcentral lists this unclassified non-coding RNA (338 nucleotides) under uncultured fungus. RNAcentral describes it as "sequence contains ITS1". The stretch from base 1 to 108 matches the Rfam family "5.8S ribosomal RNA", at positions 50 to 154 of the family's 154-position model. The record is from RNAcentral. Lineage: Eukaryota; Fungi.